AUGAACGCUGGCGGCGUGCCUAAUACAUGCAAGUCGCGCGAACAGACGAGGAGCUUGCUCCUCUGACGUUAGCGGCGGACGGGUGAGUAACACGUGGAUAACCUACCUAUAAGACUGGGAUAACUUCGGGAAACCGGAGCUAAUACCGGAUAAUAUAUUGAACCGCAUGGUUCAAUAGUGAAAGACGGUUUUGCUGUCACUUAUAGCUGGAUCCGCGCCGCAUUAGCUAGUUGGUAAGGUAACGGCUUACCAAGGCAACGAUGCGUAGCCGACCUGAGAGGGUGAUCGGCCACACUGGAACUGAGACACGGUCCAGACUCCUACGGGAGGCAGCAGUAGGGAAUCUUCCGCAAUGGGCGAAAGCCUGACGGAGCAACGCCGCGUGAGUGAUGAAGGUCUUCGGAUCGUAAAACUCUGUUAUUAGGGAAGAACAAAUGUGUAAGUAACUAUGCACGUCUUGACGGUACCUAAUCAGAAAGCCACGGCUAACUACGUG
RNAcentral lists this ribosomal RNA (496 nucleotides) under uncultured bacterium. Its description in RNAcentral is "partial 16S ribosomal RNA". It matches the Rfam family "Bacterial small subunit ribosomal RNA", at positions 29 to 507 of the family's 1533-position model. The record is from RNAcentral.